AGGACGAACGCUGGCGGCGUGCUUAACACAUGCAAGUCGAGCGGUAAGGCCUUUCGGGGUACACGAGCGGCGAACGGGUGAGUAACACGUGGGUGAUCUGCCCUGCACUUCGGGAUAAGCCUGGGAAACUGGGUCUAAUACCGGAUAUGACCUCAGGUUGCAUGACUUGGGGUGGAAAGAUUUAUCGGUGCAGGAUGGGCCCGCGGCCUAUCAGCUUGUUGGUGGGUAAUGGCCUACCAAGGCGACGACGGGUAGCCGACCUGAGAGGGUGACCGGCCACACUGGGACUGAGACACGGCCCAGACUCCUACGGGACGGCAGCAGUGGGGAAUAUGGCGCAAUGGGACGAAAGCCUGAUGCAGCGACGCCGCGUGAGGAUGACGGCCUUCGGGUUAGUAAACCGUCUUUCACGCAGGACGA
Molecule: ribosomal RNA, 420 nt
Filed under: uncultured soil bacterium
Lineage: Bacteria
Description: bacterial SSU rRNA
Rfam family: Bacterial small subunit ribosomal RNA
Source: RNAcentral